Molecule: non-coding RNA, 130 nt
Organism: Phyllosticta capitalensis
Lineage: Eukaryota; Fungi; Ascomycota; Dothideomycetes; Botryosphaeriales; Phyllostictaceae
Source: the annotation of a GenBank genome assembly
GGCACUUUGGCGGAGUGGUUAACGCGCUGGCCUGCUACUGUCCGCGCUCUCCGAUCAUCGGACAUCUCAUAUGACCUUAGCUGUUAAGCCAGUUCCUUCGGGAGCGUGAGUUCGAAUCUCACAGGUGUCG